This 415-nucleotide long non-coding RNA is filed under the name Manacus vitellinus (golden-collared manakin). RNAcentral's name for it is "lncRNA (ENSMVIG00005015849.1)". Lineage: Eukaryota; Metazoa; Chordata; Aves; Passeriformes; Pipridae. The record is from RNAcentral.
GGGACGGCGCUGAGGUGAAACAGGCUGAACCCGACUGAUGUGGCUCCUCUCUCGGUUGGACCCAGUGCCCUAAGCAGCCGAUGAGAGACCCCCGGCCGCCCGGCUCGCAGUAGUCUGAUAAUUAUGUAAGAACAGGACGAAACUUGAGAGGAAGUAGAACCAUGUGAAGCAGAAGGAAGUGUCCUCACUGGUAAAGAUGAGGUAUCUUUUUAAUGCUGAAAUGGACACAGUAAUUGUGAACCGUGUGGUAAGGAGCUCUUUCUAAAAUAUGCAGUAACGUAUUCACUGGAAUUUAACAGCCUGUGUACUUCAAAGCUUCUCUUGCCUGUAAUCAUGUGAACAAACCUUCCAAGUCGCUUUGCCAGCUCGAGAUUUGUCAGAGCACUAACACAGCGUUGAAGCAGCCCCUGCCACC